CUUUUCAUGAUAUAGAUUGAUAGUUAUUCUAUCAAUAACCAUCCUCUUUUGAGGUGGUUUUUCCUAUUUUGAUAACUUCGUCUUGAUGAUUACUAGUAGUUUCUUGUGUAAUAACUUGAUCCUACCUAAAUAACUUUUACCAAGUUGAACUACUUAUAUGGGACCUAUUGUAUGAGUGGUUCUCUAAAUGUUAGAAAUGAGAGCCGAUUAAAUCUUGGUUGAUCC
This 225-nucleotide long non-coding RNA is filed under the name Elaeis guineensis (African oil palm). Its description in RNAcentral is "long non-coding RNA (EGUI_LNC015997)". The record is from RNAcentral. Lineage: Eukaryota; Viridiplantae; Streptophyta; Magnoliopsida; Arecales; Arecaceae.